RNAcentral lists this ribosomal RNA (604 nucleotides) under uncultured fungus. RNAcentral's name for it is "SSU rRNA". It matches the Rfam family "Eukaryotic small subunit ribosomal RNA", at positions 737 to 1343 of the family's 1831-position model. Lineage: Eukaryota; Fungi. The record is from RNAcentral.
GGGGAACCCGGACUUUUACUUUGAAAAAAUUAGAGUGCUCCAGGCAGGCCUAUGCUCGAAUACAUUAGCAUGGAAUAAUAGAAUAGGACGUGUGGUUCUAUUUUGUUGGUUUCUAGGACCGCCGUAAUGAUUAAUAGGGACAGUCGGGGGCAUCAGUAUUCAAUUGUCAGAGGUGAAAUUCUUGGAUCUAUUGAAGACUAACUACUGCGAAAGCAUUUGCCAAGGAUGUUUUCAUUGAUAAGGAACGAAAGUUAGGGGAUCGAAGACGAUCAGAUACCGUCGUAGUCUUAACUAUAAACUAUGCCGACUAGGGAUCGGACGAUGUUAUCUUUUGACGCGUUCGGCACCUUUCGAGAAAUCAAAGUGCUUGGGCUCCAGGGGGAGUAUGGUCGCAAGGCUGAAACUUAAAGAAAUUGACGGGAGGGCACCACCAGGGGUGGAACCUGCGGCUUAAUUUGACCCAACACGGGGAAACUCACCAGGUCCAGACACAGUGAGGAUUGACAGAUUGAGAGCUCUUUCUUGAUUCUGUGGGUGGUGGUGCAUGGCCGUUCUUAGUUGGUGGAGUGAUUUGUCUGCUUAAUUGCGAUAACGAACGAGACCU